This 443-nucleotide ribosomal RNA is filed under the name uncultured bacterium. RNAcentral's name for it is "partial 16S ribosomal RNA". It matches the Rfam family "Bacterial small subunit ribosomal RNA", at positions 338 to 795 of the family's 1533-position model. The record is from RNAcentral.
CCUACGGGAGGCAGCAGUGGGGAAUAUUGGGCAAUGGGCGCAAGCCUGACCCAGCAACGCCGCGUGAAGGAAGAAGGCUGGCGGGUUGUAAACGUCUUUUCUCAGGGACGAAGAAAGUGACGGUACCUGAGGAAUAAGCAACGGCUAACUACGGGCCAGCAGCGGCGGUAAUACGUAGGUGGCAAGCGUUAGACGGAUUUACGGGGUGUAAAGGGCGUGUAGGCGGGGAAGCAAGUCAGAUGGGAAAACCACGGGCUCAACCUGUGGCCUGCAUUUGAAACUGUUUUUCUUGAGUACUGGAGAGGCAGGCGGAAUGCCUAGUGUAGCGGUGACAUGCGUAGAUAUUAGGAGGAACACCAGUGGCGAAGGCGGUCUGCUGGACAGCAACUGACGCUGAGGCGCGAAAGCGUGGGGAGCAAACAGGAUUAGAUACCCUAGUAGUC